Molecule: long non-coding RNA, 647 nt
Filed under: Nicotiana benthamiana
Lineage: Eukaryota; Viridiplantae; Streptophyta; Magnoliopsida; Solanales; Solanaceae
Description: long non-coding RNA (NBEN_LNC010592)
Source: RNAcentral
AAAAAAAAUAUUUUUCCUUUUAAAACACUUAAGUCCGCACUAGAGGUUUGGGUAAGGGGUUCAUUUGACUCGGGGAGAAGGUGUUAGGCACUCCCAAAGUUCCGUAAAGAUCAAGGAUACGUACUCGAUCUAAUUGGCUUUUAGAAUAUUCGGAUUAAGAUAAAACACACAAAAGAAGUUAAACACAAAGAGGUUCGAAUUUGUCCAUGUCUAAGAUAAAAGAAAAAUAAGAAUAAAAUAAAAUACUACACAAACUAGUCAUGGCCUCCAGAAUAUUUACAAAGUACUUCAGGGAAUUCCCCGGAUAAUAUAAUCAAGUCCUUUGGGGAAUUCCCCGGAUAAAUUUAACUAAGGGAGGACCUAUCGCCUCGAAGCCAAAAACAAAUAAAAAAUCCUAAGAUUGCCUACUCAAGUAUGGUCAGCCUGAGCAUACUCCUAGCAAUCAAUACGAAAAUAACUAGAACUAAAUAAAAGAGAACUUCAACUCAUGGUCGAUUUCAUUUUUAAUAGUGAACUCCCCAAAUCCCCUUAUCAUUCUAUCUAAAUAAACAUAUAAACAGUGGAAAACACUAGCCAAUUAGGCUAAAUCACAAGACCAAAUUGUGAACAUGGAAACAUAUAAAAACUGAAUAGAAACACCUAAGAGG